AGAGUUUGAUCCUGGCUCAGAUUGAACGCUGGCGGCGGCCUACUCAUGUCAAGUCGAGCGGAUGAUUGGAGCUUGCUCCAUGAUUCAGCGGCGGACGGGUGAGUAAUGCCUAGGAAUCUGCCUGGUAGUGGGGGACAACGUUUCGAAAGGAACGCUAAUACCGCAUACGUCCUACGGGAGAAAGUGGGGGAUCUUCGGACCUCACGCUAUCAGAUGAGCCUAGGUCGGAUUAGCUAGUUGGUGAGGUAAAGGCUCACCAAGGCAACGAUCUCUAGCUGGUCUGAGAGGAUGAUCAGCCACACUGGGACUGAGACACGGCCCAGACUCCUACGGGAGGCAGCAGUGGGGAAUAUUGGACAAUGGGCGCAAGCCUGAUCCAGCCAUGCCGCGUGUGUGAAGAAGGCCUUCGGGUUGUAAAGCACUUUCAGAAGGGAGGAAAGGUUGUGUGUUAAUAGCGCAUAGCUGUGACGUUACCUUCAGAAGAAGCACCGGCUAACUCCGUGCCAGCAGCCGCGGUAAUA
Molecule: ribosomal RNA, 521 nt
Filed under: uncultured bacterium
Lineage: Bacteria
Description: bacterial SSU rRNA
Rfam family: Bacterial small subunit ribosomal RNA
Source: RNAcentral